GAUGAACGCUGGCGGCGUGCCUAAUACAUGCAAGUCGAGCGAACGGACGAGAAGCUUGCUUCUCUGAUGUUAGCGGCGGACGGGUGAGUAACACGUGGAUAACCUACCUAUAAGACUGGGAUAACUUCGGGAAACCGGAGCUAAUACCGGAUAAUAUUUUGAACCGCAUGGUUCAAAAGUGAAAGACGGUCUUGCUGUCACUUAUAGAUGGAUCCGCGCUGCAUUAGCUAGUUGGUAAGGUAACGGCUUACCAAGGCAACGAUGCAUAGCCGACCUGAGAGGGUGAUCGGCCAAACUGGAACUAGAACACGGUCCAGAAACCAACGGGAGGCAGAAGGAGGAAAUCUUCCGCAAUGGGCGAAAGCCUGACGGAGCAACGCGGCGGGAGUGAUGAAGGUCUGCGGAUCGUAAAACUCUGUUGUUGGGGAAGAACAUAUGAAUAAGUAACUGUGCACAUCUGCACGGUACCUAAUCAGAAAGCCACGCCAAACUACGU
This 496-nucleotide ribosomal RNA is filed under the name uncultured bacterium. RNAcentral's name for it is "partial 16S ribosomal RNA". It matches the Rfam family "Bacterial small subunit ribosomal RNA", at positions 28 to 506 of the family's 1533-position model. The record is from RNAcentral.